GACGUAGGGCGCAAGCGUUGUCCGGAUUUAUUGGGCGUAAAGAGCUCGUAGGCGGCUUGUCGCGUCGGAUGUGAAAGCCCGGGACUUAACCCCGGGUCUGCAUUCGAUACGGGCAGGCUAGAGUUCGGUAGGGGAGAUCGGAAUUCCUGGUGUAGCGGUGAAAUGCGCAGAUAUCAGGAGGAACACCGAUUGCGAAGGCAGCUCGCUGGGACGUCACUGACGCUGAGACGCGAAAGCGUGGGGAGCAAACAGG
RNAcentral lists this ribosomal RNA (253 nucleotides) under uncultured bacterium. RNAcentral describes it as "partial 16S ribosomal RNA". It matches the Rfam family "Bacterial small subunit ribosomal RNA", at positions 524 to 776 of the family's 1533-position model. The record is from RNAcentral.